Molecule: RNA transcript, 2841 nt
Organism: Pan troglodytes (chimpanzee)
Lineage: Eukaryota; Metazoa; Chordata; Mammalia; Primates; Hominidae
Gene: TRPC5OS
Gene name: TRPC5 opposite strand
Exons: 4
Source: RefSeq, a predicted model, not a curated record
ACCAUUAGAGAGGUAAGCCUUUGGAUUACAGCUCUGAUGUUUCUGGUAGCCAUCUUUUUCUAAUAUCUCUGUGAAGGUCAACCCCUGACUCCUAAGGUGAGUUGCUUCAUAAACAAUUUACCACUUGCAAGUCUAUGAGAGAAGACAGAGGAUAGGUAACCUUUUAAGGUGGAGACCGGUGGCCUGUUUGGGGCAGUUCCCCUCUAGAGGGAGAAUUUGUCUCUGAAGUACCAGGAGACUGCAGGAGAUUUUCCUGUGCUUUUCCUACCCAGACACCAGCCCAGAACUCAGGUGACUUCAGGAGCGUUCACAUCCUGUUUGGAAACAAAGUCUGCAAAUUGUUUAAUAGGCCGAGCCUUGAUACCCGCGUCCCUCUCAGCUCUAUCACAGGUCUGCUUUGCUGUUUUCUCUUGGCUGUGACAGUCCGCCUGAUGGUCAUUAUAACAGCAGUUCACCAUUAGUACAAACAAGAGUACCAUACAUAAAUUCUGUGUGCGGUUUACCAACAUCAUCAAAAAGUUAUAUUGUUCCACUGUUCUCAUUCUUUACUUGAUCACCAUCAUAAUCAUAUCAACAUCCUAAUUUCUGGCCUAAACCAACCACAGAACCAUUGUUAGCCCCUUAUACUAUCCAUUGUCACCAAGAGUCCAUUUGCUAGAGCUUUUAGUGAUAUUUUAUCUAUUUAGAAGAGCACUGCAGCAUGGAUUCUGUGUUAAUUCAUGUACUCAUUGAUGGACUUGUUGCUUGUGUAGCCCAGUUAAUAAGAAUAGCUGAUGAGCUUUUACAAUUCAUUCUACAAGUACAAGAAGUUCCUUAUGUAGAAGAAAAUGGUAGAGCAGAAGAGACUGAAGCAGAUGCACCUCUUCCCGAGGAGCCUUCGCUACCUGAUCUCCCUGAUCUCUCAGACUUAGACUCAAUACUUACACCAAGAGAGGAUGAAGACCUAAUAUUUGAUAUAGAUCAGGCUAUGUUAGACAUGGAUAACUUAUAUGAAGAUACAGUCUCUGGUAUAAAUGAUGACUUAACAGGUGACUAAGACCCAAUUUCUGCCCCCGCCCCCAGGGAUGUGAAAACUGAUCAUUUCCCUGUUUUAAUAUAUUCUUAUUUUCUGUAUAUUAGCAAUAUGUGUUUUCUCAUAGUUCCGCAUAUUUUCAUUACUAAUAACCCAUAUAACAAGUGAGAUUUGAUUUACUUCUAGCAAAAGCUGGUCUUUUUUCAUCUUUGUUGUUAUUCAGAAAGUUCUGGCUUUUGCCAUGUAGGUCUCCCUUUACCUGUACUUACUCUCAUGCUAGAAUUUCUGAUGAUGGGAGCAAACAAUAGUAAAGAAAAGAAAUUCCUUGCCUAAUUAUGGAGUGGAGAACUGACGAACUCUAUCACAUCUUGGGACUAAUUUCACUGCUCUCCAAUGAAUGCAAAUGAAAAGGGGAAUAUCCCCCAGGGUAGCAUUACAGUAAAUGAAUACAUUCACAUUAACAAGACAGUGUUGGGAUACUUUUAUUUGAAAGGAUAUAACUCCUUACUUAUCCUUUAAGAAAGCAUGUGUCCGACACAAAAUGCUAUAGCAGACUAAGGGAGGUAAUUUUAAAAGAGUACUAUCUACCAGAUAAUAAAAGUGCAGAAAGGUUUUCAAAUGACUGUUGCCAAGGAGAAAACUGAAAAAGCUGGGACCAAGAGUUCCAGUGCAGGACUGUUCUUGCAAAUUCUGACCACAUUGUAGCUACUUUGCACUAUUAUUCCCCAAAUGGAAAAGGCACACUAUACCAAAUAAUCAAAGAGAGAAGUAAUAGAAGGGCUAAGCAAAGCCCUACAAGGACUAUUCACCAAUGGAAAGACAAACACUCACCAUAUUGGACUAAAUAUCUAUGGACUAGAUAUAGUCCUUAGGCAUCAAAGCAGGAAGAUGCUACAACCCCAUAAUAUGUGGAGCUGGCUGGACCCUUGUUUUCCUGGGUCACCUGAACAGAUUGUACUGUAAUGGUACCUCAGGAACUAGAUAAGAUAUAUUCCAGUGUUUGCUUUGAUUCUGUAAUUUUAUGUGCUUAAGGAUUGUUAAGAUAUAACCCCCGCUCCAAGGAAUGGAUUGUUGUAUUAAGUAUGUUUGCUCUAUGGAGCAGAAUUAGAGUUAAUAGUGAAAAGAAAUAUUUAGGAAAUAAGAAAAUACUUAGGAACAAGAACUAGUGGGGACGGUGUUUUCAGGAGAGAGAAGCAAAUUAAUAAAUUGUCAAUAGUUAUGCGACGGUUUAUGAUGGAAAGCCAUGAUAUGGAGUUAGUUUCUAAACAGGUUUAUGAACAAAGCCCUGUUUUUGCCUUCUGCAAAUUAGCCAACCCUAAGAUGUUGCUAUAAACAGCUGGUGGGCGAUUGACAUAAGUCAUGUAUCUGAAAGCUCAAUUAGAUGGAGAAUUAUUAACUAGUUUAGUCCACUGAUUGGAUAUCGCUGAUUGAAAUCCUGCAUCUCCUCCAGGAGAAUGGAGUGAGUGGCUGAUCCUUUAUGCAAAUUAGCCCUUUUCUGUAUCUUCUUAAGACCAGUGUUAAAGCCAAUUAUUAUAUAGCAUGGCAGAAAAGAGAGGGGCUCAUCAUUCUGAGACAAGCUUAAAGGUGUGAAAAUCAAGGAAGAUAGGCUGGUAGAUGGCAUUAGAUUAGGUAGUACAAGUUUUCAUCCCUAUUUGUUUGGGCUAAAAUAUGUGGGGAGUUGUGCCUAUAUAAAUUCUUAUGUGUGAUGAUUACUGCUAGUUAUUAUCUUAUGAUUGUUUACAAUCUGUAUUAGCUAUUGAUCUAAACCAUUUUAUUGUUUUCUUUCAAGAGAUUUUAACAAAUAAACUUUCAUUCACAAAUCAAAAAAA